UACGGAGGAUGCGAGCGUUAUCCGGAUUUAUUGGGUUUAAAGGGUGCGUAGGCGGACUGUCAAGUCAGCGGUAAAAUUGAGAGGCUCAACCUCUUCCCGCCGUUGAAACUGGUGGUCUUGAGUGGAUGAGAAGUACGCGGAAUGCGCGGUGUAGCGGUGAAAUGCAUAGGUAUCGCGCAGAACUCCGAUUGCGAAGGCAGCGUACCGGCGCCACACUGACGCUGAGGCACGAAAGCGUGGGGAUCGAACAGG
This 252-nucleotide ribosomal RNA is filed under the name uncultured bacterium. Its description in RNAcentral is "partial 16S ribosomal RNA". It matches the Rfam family "Bacterial small subunit ribosomal RNA", at positions 524 to 776 of the family's 1533-position model. The record is from RNAcentral.